RNAcentral lists this ribosomal RNA (662 nucleotides) under uncultured Alteromonas sp. Its description in RNAcentral is "bacterial SSU rRNA". It matches the Rfam family "Bacterial small subunit ribosomal RNA", at positions 60 to 719 of the family's 1533-position model. Lineage: Bacteria; Pseudomonadati; Pseudomonadota; Gammaproteobacteria; Alteromonadales; Alteromonadaceae. The record is from RNAcentral.
AGUCGAACGGUAACAUUUCUAGCUUGCUAGAAGAUGACGAGUGGCGGACGGGUGAGUAAUGCUUGGGAACUUGCCUUUGCGAGGGGGAUAACAGUUGGAAACGACCGCUAAUACCGCAUAAUGUCUUCGGACCAAACGGGGCUUCGGCUCCGGCGCAAAGAGAGGCCCAAGUGAGAUUAGCUAGUUGGUAAGGUAACGGCUUACCAAGGCGACGAUCUCUAGCUGUUCUGAGAGGAAGAUCAGCCACACUGGGACUGAGACACGGCCCAGACUCCUACGGGAGGCAGCAGUGGGGAAUAUUGCACAAUGGGGGAAACCCUGAUGCAGCCAUGCCGCGUGUGUGAAGAAGGCCUUCGGGUUGUAAAGCACUUUCAGUUGUGAGGAAAAGUUAGUAGUCAAUACCUGCUAGCCGUGACGUUAACAACAGAAGAAGCACCGGCUAACUCCGUGCCAGCAGCCGCGGUAAUACGGAGGGUGCGAGCGUUAAUCGGAAUUACUGGGCGUAAAGCGCACGCAGGCGGUUUGUUAAGCUAGAUGUGAAAGCCCCGGGCUCAACCUGGGAUGGUCAUUUAGAACUGGCAGACUAGAGUCUUGGAGAGGGGAGUGGAAUUCCAGGUGUAGCGGUGAAAUGCGUAGAUAUCUGGAGGAACAUCAGUGGCGAA